AGAGUUUGAUCAUGGCUCAGAAUCAACGCUGGCGGCGUGCCUCAGACAUGCAAGUCGAACGCGAAAGUUCCCUUCGGGGGGCGAGUAGAGUGGCGCACGGGUGAGUAACACGUAGGUAAUCUACCUUUGGAUGGGGAAUAACAACCGGAAACGGUUGCUAAUACCGCAUAAUGCAGCGGCACCUAAUGGUGACAGUUGUUAAAGCGGGGGAUCGAAAGACCUCGCGUCUGAAGAGGAGCCUGCGGCGGAUUAGCUAGUUGGUAAGGUAAUGGCUUACCAAGGCGAUGAUCCGUAACCGGCCUGAGAGGGCGGUCGGUCACACUGACACUGACAUACGGGUCAGACUCCUACGGGAGGCAGCAGUCGGGAAUUUUGGGCAAUGGGCGAAAGCCUGACCCAGCAACGCCGCGUGAAGGAUGAAAUCCCUCGGGAUGUAAACUUCGCAAGAACAGGAAGAAUAAGUAAGGGUUAAUAUCUCUUACGAUGACGGUACUGUUUGUAAGCUCCGGCUAACUCCGUGCCAGCAGCCGCGGUAAUACGGGGGGAGCAAGCGUUGUUCGGAUUUACUGGGCGUAAAGGGCGCGUAGGCGGCCACUGCAAGUCGGUUGUGAAAUCUCCGGGCUUAACCCGGAAAGGUCAAUCGAUACUGCAGGGCUAGAGUGCAGAAGGGGCAACUGGAAUUCUCGGUGUAGCGGUGAAAUGCGUAGAUAUCGAGAGGAACACCUGCGGCGAAGGCGGGUUGCUGGGCUGACACUGACGCUGAAGCGCGAAAGCUAGGGGAGCGAACGGGAUUAGAUACCCCAGUAGUCC
Molecule: ribosomal RNA, 810 nt
Filed under: uncultured bacterium
Lineage: Bacteria
Description: bacterial SSU rRNA
Rfam family: Bacterial small subunit ribosomal RNA
Source: RNAcentral